This 305-nucleotide ribosomal RNA is filed under the name uncultured bacterium. RNAcentral describes it as "bacterial SSU rRNA". It matches the Rfam family "Bacterial small subunit ribosomal RNA", at positions 335 to 631 of the family's 1533-position model. The record is from RNAcentral.
AUUCCUACGGGAGGCAGCAGUUAGGAAUAUUCGUCAAUGGGGGAAACCCUGAACGAGCAAUGCCGCGUGAAGGAAGAAGGUCCUAUGGAUUGUAAACUUCUGUUGUAAAGGAAGAACGACCUAAGUAGGAAAUGACUUAGGAGUGACGGUACUUUAUUAGAAAGCUCCGGCUAACUACGUGCCAGCAGCCGCGGUAAUACGUAGGGAGCGAGCGUUAUCCGGAAUUACUGGGCGUAAAGCGCUCGUAGGCGGUAUGUCAAGUCAAGGGUGAAAUCCCCGCGCUCAACGUGGGAACUGCCUUUGAA